GGUAGCAUACAAAUUUCGUAAUCUACAUAGUCAAGUGUAGUGUGAUAUGAUUUACACAUUGUUAUACUGUUACAUACAAGGGGAAGUGGAUGACGAUGAUACAAUUAACAGUAACUAAACAAAUAAAAGAUUGGCGCCAUGUACGUAAUCUGAGGAUAGAAUUGCGAACAUUACGACUCGUUUGAUAAGACGAAUAAAAAAUUUCAUGUCAAAAGAAAAACUAGAGAAUAAGUGAUUCAAUAACUAGUUGUUUCAGUAGAUUAUUUUCAAAAACUGUGACAGUAUUUUCAGCUGCUGCCUAAGCACAAGGAAUAAAAAGAUUGUCAUUUGAUAAAGUUGAUUAGCAAUGAAGGUCACCCAACUGAAUACAAGUCAAAACUUGAUUUAGAACUUUGAUCAAGUGAUAAACUACGGCUUAGGACAUCGCAAGACCAAAACAUGGAAAGGUGGAAGUGUCAUUACAGAAAAGAUAAAGCCACCAUGAUGAAGUUGCACGCUAAUACGCAAACAAAAACCAGAUUAAACCUGCUACCAGCAUCACACCUUUACAUUCCUAC
Molecule: long non-coding RNA, 557 nt
Organism: Daphnia pulicaria
Lineage: Eukaryota; Metazoa; Arthropoda; Branchiopoda; Diplostraca; Daphniidae
Exons: 3
Source: RefSeq, a predicted model, not a curated record